UCCUUUCUAAACUUUUGCAUAAAAAAGGUAUUUUAAUUCAACAUCGAGGUCAUAAACUCACUUGUCAAUUUGAUCUUUCUAAGUGAAUUAAGCUGUUAUCCCUAAAGUAACUUACUUCUUCUUUAGAAUUUCUAGGUAUCCAAACAUGUUUGUCUCCUCUUAAAAGAAAAGAUAAUUUUUCCCACCGCCCCAGUAAAAUACUUUUUCCUUUUGAUAAUCAGAAAAAAAUAUAAAGUUUUAUAGGGUCUUCUUGUCUAAAAGAGAUAUUUUAGCCUUCUUACUAAAAAGUAAAAUUUAUUUUUUUAUAUAGAAAAAAAUUCUCCCGGUUUACUCUUUCAUUCCAGUCCCAAAUUAAAAGA
RNAcentral lists this ribosomal RNA (359 nucleotides) under Buthus occitanus tunetanus (Tunisian scorpion). RNAcentral's name for it is "partial 16S ribosomal RNA". Lineage: Eukaryota; Metazoa; Arthropoda; Arachnida; Scorpiones; Buthidae. The record is from RNAcentral.